This 724-nucleotide ribosomal RNA is filed under the name uncultured bacterium. Its description in RNAcentral is "bacterial SSU rRNA". It matches the Rfam family "Bacterial small subunit ribosomal RNA", at positions 28 to 776 of the family's 1533-position model. The record is from RNAcentral.
GAUGAACGCUGACAGAAUGCUUAACACAUGCAAGUCUACUUGAUCCUUCGGGUGAUGGUGGCGGACGGGUGAGUAACGCGUAAAGAACUUGCCCUGCAGUCUGGGACAACAUUUGGAAACGAAUGCUAAUACCGGAUAUGAUGUGAGUUUCGCAUGAAAUUCAUAUGAAAGCUAUAUGCGCUGCAGGAGAGCUUUGCGUCCUAUUAGCUAGUUGGUGAGGUAACGGCUCACCAAGGCGAUGAUAGGUAGCCGGCCUGAGAGGGUGAACGGCCACAAGGGGACUGAGACACGGCCCUUACUCCUACGGGAGGCAGCAGUGGGGAAUAUUGGACAAUGGACCAAAAGUCUGAUCCAGCAAUUCUGUGUGCACGAUGAAGUUUUUCGGAAUGUAAAGUGCUUUCAGUUGGGACGAAGUAAGUGACGGUACCAACAGAAGAAGCGACGGCUAAAUACGUGCCAGCAGCCGCGGUAAUACGUAUGUCGCAAGCGUUAUCCGGAUUUAUUGGGCGUAAAGCGCGUCUAAGCGGUUUGGUAAGUCUGAUGUGAAAAUGCGGGGCUCAACUCCGUAUUGCGUUGGAAACUGCCAAACUAGAGUACUGGAGAGGUGGGCGGAACUACAAGUGUAGAGGUGAAAUUCGUAGAUAUUUGUAGGAAUGCCGAUGGGGAAGCCAGCCCACUGGACAGAUACUGACGCUAAAGCGCGAAAGCGUGGGUAGCAAACAGG